ACAGUGGACGCGAGCAUCUUUGUUAGUAAGUGUGUAAGAGCGUACGGUGGAUGCCUUGGCACCAGGAGCCGAUGAAGGACGUAGUAGGCUGCGAUAAGCCUCGGGGA
RNAcentral lists this ribosomal RNA (107 nucleotides) under Nocardia sp. SYP-A9097. RNAcentral describes it as "partial 23S ribosomal RNA". The stretch from base 24 to 107 matches the Rfam family "Bacterial large subunit ribosomal RNA", at positions 1 to 84 of the family's 2925-position model. Lineage: Bacteria; Bacillati; Actinomycetota; Actinomycetes; Mycobacteriales; Nocardiaceae. The record is from RNAcentral.